RNAcentral lists this ribosomal RNA (68 nucleotides) under Nocardia abscessus. Its description in RNAcentral is "partial 23S ribosomal RNA". Lineage: Bacteria; Bacillati; Actinomycetota; Actinomycetes; Mycobacteriales; Nocardiaceae. The record is from RNAcentral.
GGUGGAUGCCUUAGCACCAGGAGCCGAUGAAGGACGUAGGAGGCUGCGAUAAGCCUCGGGGAGCUGUC